This 265-nucleotide long non-coding RNA is filed under the name Homo sapiens (human). RNAcentral's name for it is "non-protein coding lnc-MANEA-12:1". Lineage: Eukaryota; Metazoa; Chordata; Mammalia; Primates; Hominidae. The record is from RNAcentral.
ACACAAAACCUUAUAAACGUUUUAAAAUUCACAAGGGACGACGAGUCUUUGAACUAAGAGGUUCUUUCAGGAAUGGAAACACAAAUUGCCAAAAAACCACAGAUGUUCACCACGUGAACAGGUGAAAAAAUACUACUCUUUCAAAUAUAUUUAUCAAAGUCUUUUCUGCCUUCCUGUAAUUUCAUUUUAAAUGGGCCUUCCUUUUCAGCUGUUCUCUACUUAAACUACCUAAUAAGUAAGGACAGAUUGUAUGACUACAUUAACA